UGAUCAAGUUGGAGGAUUCAGCGGCUGGAAUCGACAGUCAAAGUUGAGAAGGCAAAUUAUUUCCAAAAAAGAAAUACCAACAACAACAACAUCUGAACUUUCUUCUAACAAAGAAAUUAAAGCUGAAUCUUUAAAUACGCCUCCGCAAAUUAUCAUAAUUUCCCCUGAAAACACACCGGAUAAGUUACCAGCUGCUCCCGGGCCAGAAAAUUUGACAGAGAACGCUCUGGAAGACACAGCAGCACCAGCUGAUUUGAUCAAUCAAACUAAAGCCGAACUUGGAAUACAGCCAUCAGCGGUGGAGCAGCAAGAUGCAUCCAAAGAUGCGACACUGAAGCCCCCUACCAGAAGGUCAGUUUUCAAAGAUCAAGACAGCGUUCAACAGAAACGCAUCAGUCCAGUACAACAAGAAGUGAAAUCUGGAGGUUUUAUCGCACAGACCCGUCCCCGGAAAUAUUUAACCCCAGCCAAAAGACAGUGACUCUCUGGUCUGCAUACCAGGGCGACCCUCGUGAGAGAUUUAAUGAGCGAGGUAACGUUAAUGGUUGGACAGAUUGGUUCCAGACCCGGACAGCAACGUCGCAGAAAGAAGGCCUCGCAAGCAGCACGGAACCGUCAAAAUAAAGCCUCAUCCUUAACGCGUCUGGCAGCAUGUCAGAUUCUGUU
This is a long non-coding RNA of Girardinichthys multiradiatus, 666 nucleotides long. RefSeq lists it as uncharacterized. The transcript has 5 exons. Lineage: Eukaryota; Metazoa; Chordata; Actinopteri; Cyprinodontiformes; Goodeidae. The record is from RefSeq and is a predicted model, not a curated record.